This 452-nucleotide ribosomal RNA is filed under the name uncultured bacterium. RNAcentral describes it as "bacterial SSU rRNA". It matches the Rfam family "Bacterial small subunit ribosomal RNA", at positions 29 to 506 of the family's 1533-position model. The record is from RNAcentral.
ACGAACGCUGGCGGCGUGCCUUAGACAUGCAAGUCGAGCGAGGGCUUCGGCCCUAGCGGCGAACGGCGGAGUAAUGCAUAAGCAACGUGCCCCAAAGACUGGGAUAGUGGAGGGAAACCACCGGUAAUACCAGAUGUGGCCCUCUGAUGGCAUCAUUAGAGGAUUAAACCGAGCAAUCGGCUUUGGGAGCGGCUUAUGUCCUAUCAGCUUGUUGGUAAGGUAACGGCUUACCAAGGCUACGACGGGUAGGGGGUCUGAGAGGAUGAUCCCCCCGAGUGGGACUGCGACACGGCCCACACACCUACGGGUGGCAGCAGUUUGGAAUAUUGCACAAUGGAGGAAACUCUGAUGCAGCGACGCCGCGUGGAGGAUGACGGAUCUAGGUCUGUAAACUCCUUUUGCCAGGAAAGACUUAGGACGGUACCUGGCGAAUAAGCCCCGGCUAACUACGU